This 309-nucleotide ribosomal RNA is filed under the name Chloropicon mariensis. RNAcentral describes it as "partial Eukaryotic large subunit ribosomal RNA". It matches the Rfam family "Eukaryotic large subunit ribosomal RNA", at positions 1282 to 1567 of the family's 3401-position model. Lineage: Eukaryota; Viridiplantae; Chlorophyta; Chloropicophyceae; Chloropicales; Chloropicaceae. The record is from RNAcentral.
GUAACAACUCACCUGCCGAAGCAACUAGCCCUGAAAAUGGAUGGCGCUGAAGCGUCGUGCUUAUACUCGGCCGUCAGGGCAAGAGAGGCUGGACUUGUCCGCCAUGAAGCUCUGACGAGUAGGAGGGUCGCGUCGGUGUGCGCAGAAGGGUCUGGGCGUGAGCCUGCCUGGAGCCGCCGACGGUGCAGAUCUUGGUGGUAGUAGCAAAUACUCCAGAGAGGCCCUGGAGGACUGAUGUGGUAGAAGGGUUUCGUGUGAACAGCCGUUGCACACGAGUCAGUCGAUCCUAAGCCCUAGGAGAAAUCCUAU